ACUCAACACAUGGAAACGACUUUGUUCAGAUAGAAGGUUACGUGCAAUGGAAGGAUGUUAGUUACUAUUUGGAAGAUACUCCGGUUUUUGGUCUUGCCGGUUGAUUGGGAGAUUUCGUUCAAUGGACAACCUUACAAAUAACUCGUUCGGGGCUCGAAAUCCAGUUUCGUUCGAGGGAAUUUCUAUUGGAACACAGACACGAAGCGGCAUUCUGACAGACUCAAGCGGCAAGGAGGUAGGUGAAUCAUCUUAGAGCAGGGAAAGAAGUAAGGAAUAGAUUAGUACGCAUUUGCAAAG
Molecule: long non-coding RNA, 297 nt
Organism: Aedes aegypti (yellow fever mosquito)
Lineage: Eukaryota; Metazoa; Arthropoda; Insecta; Diptera; Culicidae
Exons: 2
Source: RefSeq, a predicted model, not a curated record